This 253-nucleotide ribosomal RNA is filed under the name uncultured bacterium. RNAcentral's name for it is "partial 16S ribosomal RNA". It matches the Rfam family "Bacterial small subunit ribosomal RNA", at positions 524 to 776 of the family's 1533-position model. The record is from RNAcentral.
UACGUAGGGGGCAAGCGUUGUCCGGAAUCAUUGGGCGUAAAGCGCGUGUAGGCGGCCAGAAAAGUCCGCUGUGAAAACUCGAGGCUCAACUUCGAGCUGUCGGUGGAAACUUUCUGGCUAGAGUCCGGAAGGGGAGAAUGGAAUUCCUGGUGUAGCGGUGAAAUGCGCAGAUAUCAGGAAGAACACCCGUGGCGAAGGCGGUUCUCUGGGACGGUACUGACGCUGAGACGCGAAAGCGUGGGGAGCGAACUGG